Molecule: ribosomal RNA, 484 nt
Filed under: uncultured bacterium
Lineage: Bacteria
Description: partial 16S ribosomal RNA
Rfam family: Bacterial small subunit ribosomal RNA
Source: RNAcentral
AUUGAACGCUGGCGGCAUGCUUUACACAUGCAAGUCGAACGGCAGCGCGGGCUUCGGCCUGGCGGCGAGUGGCGAACGGGUGAGUAAUGCAUUGGAACGUGCCCAGUAGUGGGGGAUAGCCCGGCGAAAGCCGGAUUAAUACCGCAUACGACCUGAGGGUGAAAGCGGGGGACCGAAAGGCCUCGCGCUAUUGGAGCGGCCGAUGUCGGAUUAGCUAGUUGGUGGGGUAAAGGCUUACCAAGGCGACGAUCCGUAGCUGGUCUGAGAGGACGACCAGCCACACUGGGACUGAGACACGGCCCAGACUCCUACGGGAGGCAGCAGUGGGGAAUUUUGGACAAUGGGGGCAACCCCGAUCCAGCCAUGCCGCGUGCGGGAAGAAGGCCUUCGGGUUGUAAACCGCUUUUGUUCGGGAAGAAAUCCUCUGGGCUAAUACCCCGGGGGGAUGACGGUACCGGAAGAAUAAGCACCGGCUAACUACGUG